GUAGAUUCUCUAUGUCAAAAAUUUGGACAGGCCACAGCAGGGUCUGCUUACCUCUGCUCCACCCCUGUCUAGGGUCUCAGCCAGGAAGACUUGAAAGUUUGAAGCAACUCAGCAUCCGGGGGCUGGAAUUAUCUGGAGUAAUCUUCACUCACAUAGCUGUUACCACACCAAGUUCGUUUUUGCCUGCGGCCUGGAAAGCCAAACACCGAGACGACAAGACUGCAGCAGAGAGAGGGUUUACUCACAAGGCAGUCUGUGAGAAAGUGAGAGCAUGGGAGGUUCAGGAUUUAAAUUACCAGCUGAGAAGCAAGAUGCGCAGAUUUAACUACGGAAGAGGAGAAGGAUAUGGGACCACACUGCUGGCUUUGAAGGUGGAGGAAGAGGCCAAUAAACGAAGGGAUACAAGGAAUGCACAAGCUUGAAAAGGAAGGAAGCAAAUUCUCUUCUGAACAGAAGGAGUGCAGCCCUGCCAACAGUCUGGUUUUAGGCAUCUGACCAGAACUAUAAGAGAAUAAAUUUGCUUUGCUUUAAGCCACUAAAUUUGCGGUAGUUUGUUAUAGAGGCAUUGAUAAAUAAUUCAAGAAGGAUGGUGAAGUCUUGUUGACCUCAGCAGGGAUGGGGACCAGGAUAUGUUUGAAAAAGUCCAUUCUGAAUGGAAGUGAGUGAUGAUGAUUGCUUUAUCUCCCCUAGCUGCAGUUUCUGGCUUAGAAGACCACAAAUAUGAAUGUGUAAAAAUAGCUUUGUAAUAAACUGGUAUUUUUGCUUUUAUCUGAAUAUUGCUCUCUUACGUGGAGCCUUCAAUGUGUUGAUAGUUUGUUUUUCAUUUUUCUUCGUAAGUUAUGGUAACAGACAACAGCAGGCUUGCGGUGUCCAUGUGAAUGAAUUACUUUCAACUCUUAUCUCAUUCAAUUGGUGUUUAUUACAGUGGCUUCCAACCUAUGGCAUGUGUCAGAAGAAUUUAAGUUUGUAAAAGUAUGCGGAUGGAUCUCAACCUGAUGUAACCAAUCAGAACCUCCUUAAGUGUUUAUUUUUACAUUGCUCCACAGAGAUUAUAAAAUGCACAGAAAGUUCAAAACAAUUGAUUUACCAAGUCCCUGCCAUUGACUGAUGUAAUGCGAAACGUUCCCAAAAUAUUGCUUCUUUUGUAACAGAUUUAACACACUUGUGGUUCUAUCUUUGUCAUGAUACCCAUGUGUCUGUGAUGGUAAAUAUAAAUAAAGCCAUGCCAAAAGGCUCAGAAAUUUUCCUUAAAAGUGCAUUAAAUAAUGCCAAAUAUGAGAUUUGUUACUAAAAUGUGGACUAUUUCAGGAAAUUGCCAGUCUGUCUUAGGCUGGAUG
Molecule: long non-coding RNA, 1337 nt
Organism: Equus asinus (donkey)
Lineage: Eukaryota; Metazoa; Chordata; Mammalia; Perissodactyla; Equidae
Source: Ensembl